CUUCUACACCUAAAAAUUAUCUUAAUCCAACAUCGAGGUCGCAAUCUCUUUUAUCGAUAUGUUCUCUUUAAAAAUAUUACGCUGUUAUCCCUUAAGUAACUUAAUCUUUUAAUCAUUAUAUAAUGGAUCAACUCAUUUAUCAAUGAAUAAAAGUUUAUUAAAUUUUCUUAUCACCCCAAUAAAAUAUUAUAUAANGCUUUAAAGGGUCUUCUCGUCCUUUAAUAAAAUUUAAGCUUUUUAACUUAAAAAUUAAAUUCAAAAACAUUUAAAAUAAGACAGUUAAUAUUUCAUCCAAUCAUUCAUACCAGCUCCUAAUUAAGAAACUAUUGAUUAUGCUACCUUUGCACAGUCAAAAUACUGCGGCCUUUUUCAAUGGGCAGAUUAGACUUUAAAUU
Molecule: ribosomal RNA, 395 nt
Filed under: Ophthalmopsylla praefecta praefecta
Lineage: Eukaryota; Metazoa; Arthropoda; Insecta; Siphonaptera; Leptopsyllidae
Description: partial 16S ribosomal RNA
Source: RNAcentral